UACGGAGGGGGCGAGCGUUAUUCGGAAUUAUUGGGCGUAAAGGGCGCGUAGGCGGCCUUGCAAGUCGGUUGGUGAAAGCCCGGGGCUCAACCCCGGAGGUGCGGCCGAGACUGCAGGGCUGGAGGCCGGAAGAGGAGGGUGGAAUACCCAGUGUAGAGGUGAAAUUCGUAGAUAUUGGGUGGAACACCGGUGGCGAAAGCGGCUCUCUGGUCCGGACCUGACGCUGAGGCGCGAAAGCGUGGGGAGCAAACAGG
Molecule: ribosomal RNA, 254 nt
Filed under: uncultured bacterium
Lineage: Bacteria
Description: partial 16S ribosomal RNA
Rfam family: Bacterial small subunit ribosomal RNA
Source: RNAcentral